CCUACGGGAGGCAGCAGUGGGGAAUCUUGCGCAAUGGGCGAAAGCCUGACGCAGCAACGCCGCGUGCGGGAAGAAGGCUCUCGGGUUGUAAACCGCUUUCAGCAGGAACGAAAAUGACGGUACUUGCAGAAGAAGGUGCGGCCAACUACGUGCCAGCAGCCGCGGUGACACGUAGGCACCAAGCGUUGUCCGGAUUUAUUGGGCGUAAAGAGCUCGUAGGCGGUUCGGUAAGUCAGGUGUGAAAACUUUGGGCUCAACCCAAAGCCUGCAUCUGAUACUGCUGUGACUAGAGUUCGGUAGGGGAGCGGGGAAUUCCUAGUGUAGCGGUGAAAUGCGCAGAUAUUAGGAGGAACACCGGUGGCGAAGGCGCCGCUCUGGGCCGAAACUGACGCUGAGGAGCGAAAGCGUGGGUAGCAAACAGGAUUAGAUACCCUGGUAGUCCACGCCGUAAACGUUGGGCACUAGGUGUGGGUUUACAACACGAAACUACGCGCGUCGCUACGCAUAGUCGCCCGCCGUCGGGUAGGUACGGCCGCGAACGUUAAACGUACAAUAGAUAGACGGCGUGAGACGNGCCGACGGACGACGACGAGGGAGUAGG
RNAcentral lists this ribosomal RNA (601 nucleotides) under uncultured bacterium. RNAcentral's name for it is "bacterial SSU rRNA". The stretch from base 1 to 517 matches the Rfam family "Bacterial small subunit ribosomal RNA", at positions 338 to 873 of the family's 1533-position model. The record is from RNAcentral.